RNAcentral lists this ribosomal RNA (492 nucleotides) under uncultured bacterium. Its description in RNAcentral is "partial 16S ribosomal RNA". It matches the Rfam family "Bacterial small subunit ribosomal RNA", at positions 29 to 507 of the family's 1533-position model. The record is from RNAcentral.
AGUGAACGCUGGCGGUAGGCCUAACACAAGCCAGUCGAACGGCAGCACAGUAAGAGCUUGCUCUUACGGGUGGCGAGUGGCGGACGGGUGAGGAAUACAUCGGAAUCUACUUUUUCGUGGGGGAUAACGUAGGGAAACUUACGCUAAUACCGCAUACGACCUACGGGUGAAAGCAGGGGAUCUUCGGACCUUGCGCGAUUGAAUGAGCCGAUGUCGGAUUAGCUAGUUGGCGGGGUAAAGGCCCACCAAGGCGACGAUCCGUAGCUGGUCUGAGAGGAUGAUCAGCCACACUGGAACUGAGACACGGUCCAGACUCCUACGGGAGGCAGCAGUGGGGAAUAUUGGACAAUGGGCGCAAGCCUGAUCCAGCCAUACCGCGUGGGUGAAGAAGGCCUUCGGGUUGUAAAGCCCUUUUGUUGGGAAAGAAAAGCAGCAGGUUAAUACCCCGCUGUUCUGACGGUACCCAAAGAAUAAGCACCGGCUAACUUCGUG